RNAcentral lists this ribosomal RNA (2904 nucleotides) under Enterobacter cloacae. RNAcentral describes it as "23S ribosomal RNA". It matches the Rfam family "Bacterial large subunit ribosomal RNA". The record is from RNAcentral. RNAcentral also lists the same sequence under 1 other name. Lineage: Bacteria; Pseudomonadati; Pseudomonadota; Gammaproteobacteria; Enterobacterales; Enterobacteriaceae.
GGUUAAGCGACUAAGCGUACACGGUGGAUGCCCUGGCAGUCAGAGGCGAUGAAGGACGUGCUAAUCUGCGAAAAGCGCCGGCGAGGUGAUAUGAACCCUUGACCCGGCGAUGUCCGAAUGGGGAAACCCAGUGUGUUCCGACACACUAUCGUUAACUGAAUACAUAGGUUAACGAGGCGAACCGGGGGAACUGAAACAUCUAAGUACCCCGAGGAAAAGAAAUCAACCGAGAUUCCCCCAGUAGCGGCGAGCGAACGGGGAGCAGCCCGGAGUCUGAAUCAGCUUGUGUGUUAGUGGAACGGUCUGGAAAGUCCGACGGUACAGGGUGAUAGUCCCGUACACGAAAACACACUUGCUGUGAACUCGAAGAGUAGGGCGGGACACGUGGUAUCCUGUCUGAAUAUGGGGGGACCAUCCUCCAAGGCUAAAUACUCCUGACUGACCGAUAGUGAACCAGUACCGUGAGGGAAAGGCGAAAAGAACCCCGGCGAGGGGAGUGAAAAAGAACCUGAAACCGUGUACGUACAAGCAGUGGGAGCACCUUCGGGUGUGACUGCGUACCUUUUGUAUAAUGGGUCAGCGACUUAUAUUCUGUAGCAAGGUUAACCGUAUAGGGGAGCCGAAGGGAAACCGAGUCUUAACUGGGCGUUAAGUUGCAGGGUAUAGACCCGAAACCCGGUGAUCUAGCCAUGGGCAGGUUGAAGGUUGGGUAACACUAACUGGAGGACCGAACCGACUAAUGUUGAAAAAUUAGCGGAUGACCUGUGGCUGGGGGUGAAAGGCCAAUCAAACCGGGAGAUAGCUGGUUCUCCCCGAAAGCUAUUUAGGUAGCGCCUCGUGAACUCAUCUUCGGGGGUAGAGCACUGUUUCGGCUAGGGGGCCAUCCCGGCUUACCAACCCGAUGCAAACUACGAAUACCGAAGAAUGUUAUCACGGGAGACACACGGCGGGUGCUAACGUCCGUCGUGAAGAGGGAAACAACCCAGACCGCCAGCUAAGGUCCCAAAGUCAUGGUUAAGUGGGAAACGAUGUGGGAAGGCACAGACAGCCAGGAUGUUGGCUUAGAAGCAGCCAUCAUUUAAAGAAAGCGUAAUAGCUCACUGGUCGAGUCGGCCUGCGCGGAAGAUGUAACGGGGCUAAACCAUGCACCGAAGCUGCGGCAGCGACGCUUAUGCGUUGUUGGGUAGGGGAGCGUUCUGUAAGCCGUUGAAGGUGUGCUGUGAGGCAUGCUGGAGGUAUCAGAAGUGCGAAUGCUGACAUAAGUAACGAUAAAGCGGGUGAAAAGCCCGCUCGCCGGAAGACCAAGGGUUCCUGUCCAACGUUAAUCGGGGCAGGGUGAGUCGACCCCUAAGGCGAGGCCGAAAGGCGUAGUCGAUGGGAAACAGGUUAAUAUUCCUGUACUUGGUGUUACUGCGAAGGGGGGACGGAGAAGGCUAUGUCAGCCGGGCGACGGUUGUCCCGGUUUAAGCAUGUAGGCGGAGGUUCCAGGUAAAUCCGGUACCUUUUAACGCUGAGGUGUGAUGACGAGGCACUACGGUGCUGAAGUGAUAAAUGCCCUGCUUCCAGGAAAAGCCUCUAAGCAUCAGGUAACACGAAAUCGUACCCCAAACCGACACAGGUGGUCAGGUAGAGAAUACCAAGGCGCUUGAGAGAACUCGGGUGAAGGAACUAGGCAAAAUGGUGCCGUAACUUCGGGAGAAGGCACGCUGAUAUGUAGGUGAAGUCCCUGCGGACGGAGCUGAAAUCAGUCGAAGAUACCAGCUGGCUGCAACUGUUUAUUAAAAACACAGCACUGUGCAAACACGAAAGUGGACGUAUACGGUGUGACGCCUGCCCGGUGCCGGAAGGUUAAUUGAUGGGGUUAGCGGCAACGCGAAGCUCUUGAUCGAAGCCCCGGUAAACGGCGGCCGUAACUAUAACGGUCCUAAGGUAGCGAAAUUCCUUGUCGGGUAAGUUCCGACCUGCACGAAUGGCGUAAUGAUGGCCAGGCUGUCUCCACCCGAGACUCAGUGAAAUUGAACUCGCUGUGAAGAUGCAGUGUACCCGCGGCAAGACGGAAAGACCCCGUGAACCUUUACUAUAGCUUGACACUGAACACUGGUCCUUGAUGUGUAGGAUAGGUGGGAGGCUUUGAAGCGUGGACGCCAGUCUGCGUGGAGCCGCCCUUGAAAUACCACCCUUUAAUGGCUGGUGUUCUAACGUAGACCCGUGAUCCGGGUUGCGGACAGUGUCUGGUGGGUAGUUUGACUGGGGCGGUCUCCUCCCAAAGAGUAACGGAGGAGCACGAAGGUUGGCUAAUCCUGGUCGGACAUCAGGAGGUUAGUGCAAUGGCAUAAGCCAGCUUGACUGCGAGCGUGACGGCGCGAGCAGGUGCGAAAGCAGGUCAUAGUGAUCCGGUGGUUCUGAAUGGAAGGGCCAUCGCUCAACGGAUAAAAGGUACUCCGGGGAUAACAGGCUGAUACCGCCCAAGAGUUCAUAUCGACGGCGGUGUUUGGCACCUCGAUGUCGGCUCAUCACAUCCUGGGGCUGAAGUAGGUCCCAAGGGUAUGGCUGUUCGCCAUUUAAAGUGGUACGCGAGCUGGGUUUAGAACGUCGUGAGACAGUUCGGUCCCUAUCUGCCGUGGGCGCUGGAGAAUUGAGGGGGGCUGCUCCUAGUACGAGAGGACCGGAGUGGACGCAUCACUGGUGUUCGGGUUGUCAUGCCAAUGGCACUGCCCGGUAGCUAAAUGCGGAAGAGAUAAGUGCUGAAAGCAUCUAAGCACGAAACUUGCCCCGAGAUGAGUUCUCCCUGAGACCUUGAGUCUCCUGAAGGAACGUUGAAGACGACGACGUUGAUAGGUCGGGUGUGUAAGCGCAGCGAUGCGUUGAGCUAACCGAUACUAAUGAACCGUGAGGCUUAACCUU